ACAACAUUCGGAAACGGAUGCUAAUACCCCAUAGGUGGAUUGGUCGCAUGACGAAUUCAUUAAAGGUGGCUUUGCUACCACUCAUGGAUAGCCUCGCGGCGUAUUAGCUAGUUGGUAAGGUAAUGGCUUACCAAGGCAGUGAUACGUAGCCGACUUGAGAGGGUGAUCGGCCACACUGGGACUGAGACACGGCCCAG
RNAcentral lists this ribosomal RNA (197 nucleotides) under uncultured Carnobacteriaceae bacterium. RNAcentral describes it as "partial 16S ribosomal RNA". It matches the Rfam family "Bacterial small subunit ribosomal RNA", at positions 143 to 334 of the family's 1533-position model. The record is from RNAcentral. Lineage: Bacteria; Bacillati; Bacillota; Bacilli; Lactobacillales; Carnobacteriaceae.